RNAcentral lists this ribosomal RNA (456 nucleotides) under uncultured organism. Its description in RNAcentral is "partial 16S ribosomal RNA". It matches the Rfam family "Bacterial small subunit ribosomal RNA", at positions 329 to 801 of the family's 1533-position model. The record is from RNAcentral.
ACGUACACUCCUGCGGGAGGCAGCAGUGGGGAAUAUUGGACAAUGGGCGCAAGCCUGAUCCAGCCAUGCCGCGUGAGUGAUGAAGGCCCUAGGGUUGUAAAGCUCUUUCACCGGUGAAGAUAAUGACGGUAACCGGAGAAGAAGCCCCGGCUAACUUCGUGCCAGCAGCCGCGGUAAUACGAAGGGGGCUAGCGUUGUUCGGAUUUACUGGGCGUAAAGCGCACGUAGGCGGACUAUUAAGUCAGGGUUGAAAUCCCGGGGCUCAACCCCGGAACUGCCUUUGAUACUGGUAGUCUUGAGUUCGAGAGAGGUGAGUGGAAUUCCGAGUGUAGAGGUGAAAUUCGUAGAUAUUCGGAGGAACACCAGUGGCGAAGGCGGCUCACUGGCUCGAUACUGACGCUGAGGUGCGAAAGCGUGGGGAGCAAACAGGAUUAGAAACCCUGGUAGUCCCAUGAU